RNAcentral lists this ribosomal RNA (253 nucleotides) under uncultured bacterium. Its description in RNAcentral is "partial 16S ribosomal RNA". It matches the Rfam family "Bacterial small subunit ribosomal RNA", at positions 524 to 776 of the family's 1533-position model. The record is from RNAcentral.
UACGGAGGGUGCAAGCGUUAUCCGGAUUUACUGGGUUUAAAGGGUGCGUAGGCGGCCUUGUAAGUCAGUGCUGAAAUAUCCCGGCUUAACCGGGAGGGUGGCAUUGAUACUGCAGGGCUUGAGUAAAGUUGAGGUUGGCGGAAUUGACGGUGUAGCGGUGAAAUGCUUAGAUAUCGUCAAGAACACCGAUAGUGAAGACAGCUAACUAAGCUUUAACUGACGCUGAGGCACGAAAGUGUGGGGAUCAAACAGG